UGUGGGAGCGAGCCUGCUCGCGAUAGCGGUAUUCCAGCCAACUUCGAUGUGACUGGUCCACCGCCAUCGCGAGCAGGCUCGCUCCCACA
RNAcentral lists this unclassified non-coding RNA (89 nucleotides) under Pseudomonas sp. A214. Lineage: Bacteria; Pseudomonadati; Pseudomonadota; Gammaproteobacteria; Pseudomonadales; Pseudomonadaceae. The record is from RNAcentral.